RNAcentral lists this non-coding RNA (80 nucleotides) under Clostridium sp. BNL1100. Its description in RNAcentral is "pemK RNA". It matches the Rfam family "pemK RNA". Lineage: Bacteria; Bacillati; Bacillota; Clostridia; Eubacteriales; Clostridiaceae. The record is from RNAcentral.
AUAAUGCUACUUCCGCCCAGCCACAGACAUCGCAAUGGGGGCGGCUCGGUGAGAACCACGGAGAGGUGAAAUUCCUAUGG